This 241-nucleotide ribosomal RNA is filed under the name Clostridioides difficile. RNAcentral describes it as "partial 23S ribosomal RNA". It matches the Rfam family "Bacterial large subunit ribosomal RNA", at positions 1224 to 1465 of the family's 2925-position model. Lineage: Bacteria; Bacillati; Bacillota; Clostridia; Peptostreptococcales; Peptostreptococcaceae. The record is from RNAcentral.
AUGGGUAGGGGAGCUUCCCAUACGGGUUGAAGCAUGACCGUAAGGACAUGUGGACAGGAUGGGAGUGAGAAUGUUGGCAUGAGUAGCGAGAUGUGGGUGAGAAUCCCACAGGCCGUAAACCCAAGGUGUCCAGGGGAAGGUUCGUCCGCCCUGGGUUAGUCGGGACCUAAGCUGAGGCCGAAAGGCGUAGGUGAUGGACAACAGGUUGAUAUUCCUGUACUACCGAUAACCGUUUGAGAGA